ACAUGUGUUUGGGUUUAUGUCAGCCCUGUCCCCCUGGGUCUCUCAGAGUGCCCCAUGCCAGAGCAAACUGUGACUUUGAACUACUGCCUGGCUUCUGUCUGUAGGCUGCAGGCACUAAAGUGGUUUGCACAGUG
This is a small nucleolar RNA of Molossus molossus (Pallas's mastiff bat), 134 nucleotides long. RefSeq annotates it as small nucleolar RNA SNORA42/SNORA80 family. The transcript has a single exon. The record is from RefSeq and is a predicted model, not a curated record. NCBI's taxonomy places the organism in Eukaryota, Metazoa, Chordata, Mammalia, Chiroptera, Molossidae.